GUCCACGCCGUAAACGUUGGGAACUAGGUGUGGGUCUCAUUCCACGAGAUCCGUGCCGCAGCUAACGCAUUAAGUUCCCCGCCUGGGGAGUACGGCCGCAAGGCUAAAACUCAAAGGAAUUGACGGGGGCCCGCACAAGCGGCGGAGCAUGUGGAUUAAUUCGAUGCAACGCGAAGAACCUUACCAAGGCUUGACAUAUACCGGAAACACCCAGAGAUGGGUGCCCCGCAAGGUCGGUAUACAGGUGGUGCAUGGUUGUCGU
Molecule: ribosomal RNA, 262 nt
Filed under: uncultured bacterium
Lineage: Bacteria
Description: partial 16S ribosomal RNA
Rfam family: Bacterial small subunit ribosomal RNA
Source: RNAcentral